UCUGCUGGUUCACACUUGAAACUAUUAAAACUAUUGAAACUAUAAGAAUUGGGACUCUUUUUUCGAAGAAAUUGAAGAUCUAUUUAUGCGUGAAAACAUGUGGCAACGAGAUAGAUCUUGAAGAGAUAAAUACGCAUAAGAUAGAUUACUUACAAAUAUCAAUUAAAUAUUACAAAUAUUCAACAAUUUAUGACAUUUAGUUAUGUUAAGGCUAUUAAUAUUUCAACAAAUCAGUUGUUAAGCUGUUUAAUUAAUUGCAGACAAUUCACAUCAGGCAAAUUAAUCUGGCUACAUAUUACAAGUUACAAGAUAUAUUUUUCGACGAUAGUGAGCCGACGAUGGUUUAACGAACGGCAAGAAUUUCGUCGAAUUUCUUUUCGUCGCUCGCUUGAUGGAAGGCUCACUGCCCAUUCUUUACUCUGAGACGUCGUCGCGUCGACGACGCUGACGAUCGUUUCUGGCGUGAGAUACGCACCUCACGACGGACGCCGUCCCCGACGACUCCGGGCCGCUCGCGAAUAGCGAACGCCAAUGCCGCCGACCGCCGACGAUGAACGACGUCUCUCUUUCGGGCGUGCGCUUGCGAGAGCGAAGGGAAAACGCCGAUUUUAACCGCGCCUCGCGAUAGCGAUAGCGCGCAUUCCCGAGCGAAGCUAUCUCGGGCCGUCGAGCGUGCGCUUGGCACGAUUCGACGGAGCGGAGUCCGCGAGAUGCUGCUACUGGUCCAGCGGCGGUAUUCUUGGUCCUCCACUUUUACAGGUCGGCGAGCGAGCUUUUCCUCGUAGGAAUCGCGGUCAAAGAGACUUUCAGGAAAGUCGGUUUUGCCUUGGAGACCACCAUAUGCUUUGGGAGAUAUCUCGUGUGUCCGGGCGUUCACAUACGUCUUAGGAACCCUCUUACGGUGAUGUCCACAAGGUGAUGUCGGAUCUCGGGAGAUUUCGAGAGGGAAUGUUUCAAUUCGAUACGUUUUUACCAUCUUCGGUUGUAUUCUACAUAUCUGUCUUCCGGUGGAAGAAACCGGACCAUUUUUGUCGCGACUCCGACCGAAUCGACGAACCUGAGGGAAGAAAGAAUUGAGACUUAUUAAUCUUCGUGGUCUGGACCGUCGGGUCUUGCUUACCUCUUGCAACUUUCCGUGUAAAUACGACGACGCGUAAAUAUUCCGUACAACAGCUUCAAAUAUUUUCCUCGAGUCGUUUCGCCUCACGUUUAUUGAAUCGAGCCGCGUCGUAAACUCUCGGGCGCUCUCCUUUAUUGGUGAGCGAGGCACUCGCUCGCUCGCUCGCUUGCGAGCUAAGAUCAUCAAACGCGAAUAUAGCGGAAAUAUACGAAGCGUAGUAAACUAGCACGCGUAUACAUGGUGACUCGUACGGCUUAACGCGCGGAACAUAGAGUAUCGGUUGUUUAAAUCCAAGAAUUUGUUUCAGAUUAAUUCGGGGACCGGGCAAUGAUAAAAAUUAAUACUUAUUGACGCACCGGCACGUUGCGUGAUGCAAGAUCGACGAGACAUAAUGCAAUACCAAUUUAACAUUGCGUCUCUCUAACAUUGUUUCUCUUUCUGAUUAAGCAACUGUAAGAGUUUCUUUUUCCGGUUGAAAAAAUCCUCUUGAAAAACGCUCGUCGUUAAUUCUAAAAUUUCAAUGUUUAAUUUUGAUAAACGAA
Long non-coding RNA from Monomorium pharaonis (pharaoh ant), 1662 nucleotides. RefSeq lists it as uncharacterized. The transcript is spliced from 2 exons. Lineage: Eukaryota; Metazoa; Arthropoda; Insecta; Hymenoptera; Formicidae. The record is from RefSeq and is a predicted model, not a curated record.